Molecule: ribosomal RNA, 495 nt
Filed under: uncultured bacterium
Lineage: Bacteria
Description: partial 16S ribosomal RNA
Rfam family: Bacterial small subunit ribosomal RNA
Source: RNAcentral
GACGAACGCUGGCGGCGUGCCUAAUACAUGCAAGUAGAACGCUGAAGGAGGAGCUUGCUUCUCUGGAUGAGUUGCGAACGGGUGAGUAACGCGUAGGUAACCUGCCUGGUAGCGGGGGAUAACUAUUGGAAACGAUAGCUAAUACCGCAUAAGAGUAGAUGUUGCAUGACAUUUGCUUAAAAGGUGCAAUUGCAUCACUACCAGAUGGACCUGCGUUGUAUUAGCUAGUUGGUGAGGUAACGGCUCACCAAGGCGACGAUACAUAGCCGACCUGAGAGGGUGAUCGGCCACACUGGGACUGAGACACGGCCCAGACUCCUACGGGAGGCAGCAGUAGGGAAUCUUCGGCAAUGGACGGAAGUCUGACCGAGCAACGCCGCGUGAGUGAAGAAGGUUUUCGGAUCGUAAAGCUCUGUUGUAAGAGAAGAACGAGUGUGAGAGUGGAAAGUUCACACUGUGACGGUAUCUUACCAGAAAGGGACGGUUAACUACGUG